This 447-nucleotide ribosomal RNA is filed under the name uncultured bacterium. RNAcentral's name for it is "partial 16S ribosomal RNA". It matches the Rfam family "Bacterial small subunit ribosomal RNA", at positions 29 to 523 of the family's 1533-position model. The record is from RNAcentral.
AGCGAACGCUGGCGGCAGGCUUAACACAUGCAAGUCGAACGGUCCCUCGGGAUAGUGGCGGACGGGUGAGUAACACGUGGGAACGUACCCUUAGGUUCGGAACAACACAGGGAAACUUGUGCUAAUACCGGAUAAGCCCUUCGGGUGAAAGAUUUAUCGCCUUUGGAGCGGCCCGCGUCUGAUUAGCUUGUUGGUGAGGUAAUGGCUCACCAAGGCUACGAUCAGUAGCUGGUCUGAGAGGAUGGCCAGCCACACUGGGACUGAGACACGGCCCAGACUCCUACGGGAGGCAGCAGUGGGGAAUCUUGCGCAAUGGGCGAAAGCCUGACGCAGCCAUGCCGCGUGGAUGAUGAAGGUCUUAGGAUUGUAAAAUCCUUUCACCGGGGACGAUAAUGACGGUACCCGGAGAAGAAGCCCCGGCUAACUUCGUGCCAGCCGCCGCGGUAA